AUUGAACGCUGGCGGCAGGCCUAACACAUGCAAGUCGAGCGAGAGGCGGACGGGUGAGUAAUGUAUGGGGAACUGCCCGAUAGAGGGGGAUAACUACUGGAAACGGUGGCGAAUACCGCAUACUGCCGGAUGAACCCCUAUGGGAUUAGCUAGUAGGGAAGGGAAUGGCUUACCUAGGCGACGAUCCCUAGCUGGUCUGAGAGGAUGAUCAGCCACACUGGAACGGAGACAAGGCCCAGACUCCUACGGGAGGCAGCAGUGGGUAAUAUUGCACAAUGGGCGCAAGCCUGAUGCAGCCAUGCCGCGUGUAUGAAGAAGGCCUUCGGGUUGUAAAGUACUUUCAGUCGGGAGGCGUUACCCGCAGAAGAAGCACCGGCUAACUCCGUGCCAGCAGCCGCGGUAAUUC
This 406-nucleotide ribosomal RNA is filed under the name uncultured bacterium. RNAcentral's name for it is "partial 16S ribosomal RNA". It matches the Rfam family "Bacterial small subunit ribosomal RNA", at positions 30 to 526 of the family's 1533-position model. The record is from RNAcentral.